Molecule: ribosomal RNA, 253 nt
Filed under: uncultured bacterium
Lineage: Bacteria
Description: partial 16S ribosomal RNA
Rfam family: Bacterial small subunit ribosomal RNA
Source: RNAcentral
UACAGAGGGUGCAAGCGUUGUUCGGAAUUAUUGGGCGUAAAGCGCGUGUAGGCGGUUUUGCAAGUCGGGUGUGAAAGCCCUCGGCUCAACCGAGGAAGUGCGCCCGAAACUGCAGAGCUUGAGUACCGGAGAGGAUGGCGGAAUUCCCCAAGUAGAGGUGAAAUUCGUAGAUAUGGGGAGGAACACCGGUGGCGAAGGCGGCCAUCUGGACGGAUACUGACGCUGAGACGCGAAAGCGUGGGUAGCAAACAGG